Molecule: ribosomal RNA, 251 nt
Filed under: uncultured bacterium
Lineage: Bacteria
Description: partial 16S ribosomal RNA
Rfam family: Bacterial small subunit ribosomal RNA
Source: RNAcentral
GCAAGUCGAGGGGUAACAUUACUGCUUGCAGUAGAUGACGACCGGCGAACGGGUGCGUAACGCGUAUAGAAUCUGCCUUGUACAGGAGGAUAGCCUUUAGAAAUGAAGAUUAAUACUCCAUAAUAUUGGGAAGUGGCAUCACUAUCUAAUUAAACAUUUAUGGGUACAAGAUGACUAUGCGUCCUAUUAGCUAGAUGGUAAGGUAACGGCUUACCAUGGCAACGAUAGGUAGGGGGUCUGAGAGGAUUAUC